CCUAAAUCUAAAUCUAUAUGCCUUUUUGUUUCGCUAGAUUUAUCAUCUGUAGCGCUCUGUUUCUUUGGAGUCGCCAUCCUGUUCUGUUCUGUAGUACGGAAUCCCUCCGUCUAUAAAGGAGCACUUCACAAAUAUGUAGUCAAAAAUAUGAUGUAUUAACUACGGCUGUCCCAUAAUAAUGAUACUAUUAGUAACUCGUCCCGAUUAGCAUGAUCAU
RNAcentral lists this long non-coding RNA (217 nucleotides) under Mytilus galloprovincialis (Mediterranean mussel). The record is from RNAcentral. Lineage: Eukaryota; Metazoa; Mollusca; Bivalvia; Mytilida; Mytilidae.